UGAUAUGGUUUGGAUCUCUGUCUCCACCCAGAUCUCAUGUUGAAUUGUAAUCCCCAGUGUUGGAGGUGGGGCCUGGUGGGAGGUGAUUGGAUCACGGGAGUGGAUUUCCACCUUUGUACUGUCAUGGCAAUAAUGAUUGAGUUCUCGUGAGAUCUGGUCAUUUAAAAGUGUGUGGCAUCUCCCCCAUCUCUCUCUUGCUCCUACUAUGGCCAUGUGAGCUGAUCUGUGUGCUUCCCCUUCACUUGAGGGGUUUCAAGUUUCCUGAGGCCUCCCCAGAAGCCACCCAGAUGGAGUUUAAGGAAAAGAAAACAGGAAGGACAAGUUGGAGUCAGAUUAUACAGGGCUUAGGGAACCACUGAAAAUUUUAUACAGAUGACAUGAAUGUUUUUGUGUCUUAGAAAGAUCAGUCUAGUUCAGGGGUUGGCAAAUCUGGCCCACCACCUGUUUUUGUAAACAAAGUUUUAUUAAAACACAAUCACAGUCUUUCAGUUACUUAAUAUUUGUGGGUGCUUUUGCACUUAAACAAAGUAAAUAUCCAACAAUAGGG
This 547-nucleotide long non-coding RNA is filed under the name Pan troglodytes (chimpanzee). RNAcentral describes it as "long non-coding RNA NONPTRT010553". Lineage: Eukaryota; Metazoa; Chordata; Mammalia; Primates; Hominidae. The record is from RNAcentral.